UCAGGCCUAACACAUGCAAGUCGUGCGAGAAAGUAUCUUCGGAUAUGAGUAGAGCGGCGGACGGGUGAGUAACGCGUAGGAAUCUACCUAGUAGAAGGGGAUAGCCCGGGGAAACUCGGAUUAAUACCGUAUACCUCCUUCGGGAGAAAGAAGGCCUCUCUUUGAUGCUUUCGCUAUUAGAUGAGCCUGCGUAAGAUUAGCUUGUUGGUGAGGUAAAGGCUCACCAAGGCGACGAUCUUUAGCUGGUCUGAGAGGACGAUCAGCCACAUUGGGACUGAGACACGGCCCAGACUCCUACGGGAGGCAGCAGUGGGGAAUAUUGGACAAUGGGCGCAAGCCUGAUCCAGCCAUACCGCGUGUGUGAAGAAGGCCUUCGGGUUGUAAAGCACUUUAAGCAGGGAGAAAAAGUUAUAAGUUAAUACCUUAUAGCCGUGAUGUUACCUGCAGAAUAAGCACCGGCUAAUUCCGUGCCAGCAGCCGCGGUAAUACGGAAGGUGCAAGCGUUAAUCGGAAUUACUGGGCGUAAAGCGCGCGUAGGUGGUUUGUUAAGUUGGAUGUGAAAGCCCUGGGCUCAACCUAGGAACUGCAUCCAAAACUAACUCACUAGAGUACGAUAGAGGGAGGUAGAAUUCAUAGUGUAGCGGUGGAAUGCGUAGAUAUUAUGAAGAAUACCAGUGGCGAAGGCGGCCUCCUGGAUCUG
RNAcentral lists this ribosomal RNA (700 nucleotides) under uncultured bacterium. RNAcentral describes it as "bacterial SSU rRNA". It matches the Rfam family "Bacterial small subunit ribosomal RNA", at positions 42 to 737 of the family's 1533-position model. The record is from RNAcentral.